RNAcentral lists this ribosomal RNA (549 nucleotides) under uncultured Glomus. RNAcentral's name for it is "SSU rRNA". It matches the Rfam family "Eukaryotic small subunit ribosomal RNA", at positions 548 to 1098 of the family's 1831-position model. The record is from RNAcentral. Lineage: Eukaryota; Fungi; Glomeromycota; Glomeromycetes; Glomerales; Glomeraceae.
UUGGAGGGCAAGUCUGGUGCCAGCAGCCGCGGUAAUUCCAGCUCCAAUAGCGUAUAUUAAAGUUGUUGCAGUUAAAAAGCUCGUAGUUGAAUUUCGGGAUCGACGGGUCGGUCGCGCCUCUGGUGUGUACUGGCCCUGUCGGUUUCUCCCUUCUGACGAACCACGAUGUCAUUAAUUUGGUGUCGUGGGAAAUCAGGACUGUUACUUUGAAAAAAUUAGAGUGUUUAAAGCAGGCUAACGCUUGAAUACAUUAGCAUGGAAUAAUGAAAUAGGACAUCGCAUUCUAUUUUGUUGGUUUCUAGGAUCGAUGUAAUGAUUAAUAGGGAUAGUUGGGGGCAUUAGUAUUCAAUUGUCAGAGGUGAAAUUCUUGGAUUUAUUGAAGACUAACUACUGCGAAAGCAUUUGCCAAGGAUGUUUUCAUUAAUCAAGAACGAAAGUUAGGGGAUCGAAGACGAUCAGAUACCGUCGUAGUCUUAACCAUAAACUAUGCCGACUAGGGAUCGGAUGAUGUUGAUUUUUUAAUGACUCAUUCGGCGCCUUACGGGAAAC